RNAcentral lists this ribosomal RNA (254 nucleotides) under uncultured bacterium. RNAcentral describes it as "partial 16S ribosomal RNA". It matches the Rfam family "Bacterial small subunit ribosomal RNA", at positions 524 to 776 of the family's 1533-position model. The record is from RNAcentral.
UACGUAGGCAGCGAGCGUUGUUCGGAAUUACUGGGCAUAAAGAGUGUGUAGGCGGUGCUCUAAGUUCGGUGUGAAAUCUCCUGGCUUAACUGGGAGGGUGCGCCGGAAACUGGAGUGCUUGAGCGUGGGAGAGGAAGCGGAAGUUCCGGUGUAGCGGUGAAAUGCGUAGAGUAUCAGGAGGAACACCUGUGGUGUGAGACGCUUUCUGGACCAUAGCUGACGCUGAGACACGGAAAGCGUGGGGAGCAAACAGG